CCUACGGGGGGCUGCAGUGGGGGAUAUUGCACAAUGGGGGGAACCCUGAUGCAGCGACGCCGCGUGGGUGAAGAAGCGCCUCGGCGCGUAAAGCCCUGUCAGCAGGGAAGAAAAUGACGGUACCUGAAGAAGAAGCCCCGGCUAACUACGUGCCAGCAGCCGCGGUAAUACGUAGGGGGCAAGCGUUAUCCGGAUUUACUGGGUGGAAAGGGGGCGCAGACGGCGAUGCAAGCCAGGAGUGAAAGCCCGGGGCCCAACCCCGGGACUGCUCUUGGAACUGCGUGGCUGGAGUGCAGGAGGGGCAGGCGGAACUCCUGGUGUAGCGGUGAAAUGCGUAGAUAUCAGGAGGAACACCGGUGGCGAAGGCGGCCUGCUGGACUGCAACUGACGUUGAGGCCCGAAAGCGUGGGGAGCAAACAGGAUUAGAUACCCCUGUAGUC
This 440-nucleotide ribosomal RNA is filed under the name uncultured bacterium. RNAcentral's name for it is "partial 16S ribosomal RNA". It matches the Rfam family "Bacterial small subunit ribosomal RNA", at positions 338 to 795 of the family's 1533-position model. The record is from RNAcentral.